AACAGCCACACAAGUGGUAAACUCAGAGGUUACAAUAGCUUCAGUGCAAAACAAGGAUGAAUGGAAGGCUGUGCUGCAUUGUGUGACAUAAAAGAGAAGGACAAUCCAGCAAAGUCUGCUGUUCUUACAGUUCUUGUUCUACACUGUGAGGCCAUGGUGGAAGAGGAGAUUAGAAGCCAGGUCAAAGCAGUAUCUCGAACAGUUUUGGCAGUUUUGUCCAAAUGCCAUGGUCCUGUUCUGCUUUCGUAAUCCUUUGCACGGAGGAUUACAACUUGCUAGAAUCCACCUCCUGGUGUCAUGGAGUCCCUCCAUCUGCUUUACAUCACAAGGCCAGAUCGUUAGUUCUUAUGGACCUUCUCAUUGAAUGGGAUCUCCCACUUCGGGGUGGCCUAUAUUUCUUAGAAACAUUAUAUUUGACUGCUGAAGACCCAGGCUGCAGGCCAAAUGAACAAGACGACCAAAGAAGGAUUGGGAAUUUCAAAUAGUCAGAGGACCAGGCUUGGCUCUUAGACUGAGUUACUUUGAUUGCAU
RNAcentral lists this long non-coding RNA (531 nucleotides) under Pogona vitticeps (central bearded dragon). RNAcentral describes it as "lncRNA (ENSPVIG00000025564.1)". The record is from RNAcentral. Lineage: Eukaryota; Metazoa; Chordata; Lepidosauria; Squamata; Agamidae.